CCCGCCUUAGCGUAGUCUGGAAACGCGUCCGGCUGUAGACCGGAAGAUCCCCGGUUCAAAUCCGGGAGGCGGGA
Molecule: transfer RNA, 74 nt
Filed under: Candidatus Altarchaeales archaeon
Lineage: Archaea; Nanobdellati; Candidatus Altarchaeota; Candidatus Altarchaeia; Candidatus Altarchaeales
Description: Candidatus Altiarchaeales archaeon tRNA-Tyr
Rfam family: tRNA
About the family: Transfer RNA (tRNA) molecules are approximately 80 nucleotides in length. Their secondary structure includes four short double-helical elements and three loops (D, anti-codon, and T loops). Further hydrogen bonds mediate the characteristic L-shaped molecular structure. tRNAs have two regions of fundamental functional importance: the anti-codon, which is responsible for specific mRNA codon recognition, and the 3' end, to which the tRNAs corresponding amino acid is attached (by aminoacyl-tRNA synthetases). tRNAs cope with the degeneracy of the genetic code in two manners: having more than one tRNA (with a specific anti-codon) for a particular amino acid; and 'wobble' base-pairing, i.e. permitting non-standard base-pairing at the 3rd anti-codon position.
Source: RNAcentral